RNAcentral lists this transfer RNA (63 nucleotides) under Ramisyllis kingghidorahi. RNAcentral's name for it is "Ramisyllis sp. k GPS-2021 tRNA-Met". Lineage: Eukaryota; Metazoa; Annelida; Polychaeta; Phyllodocida; Syllidae. The record is from RNAcentral.
CUAUAAAGUAAACUAAUAUAAGUUUUUGAGCUCAUAACUCAACCAUGGAGCCCCCCUUUAUAA